UGCAGUCGAACGCUGAAGCCUGGUGCUUGCACCGGGUGGAUGAGUGGCGAACGGGUGAGUAACACGUGAGUAACCUGCCCCUGACUUCGGGAUAAGCCCGGGAAACUGGGUCUAAUACCGGAUACGACUGCCGGACGCAUGUCUGGUGGUGGAAAGUUUUUUCGGUUGGGGAUGGGCUCGCGGCCUAUCAGUUUGUUGGUGAGGUAAUGGCUCACCAAGACGACGACGGGUAGCCGGCCUGAGAGGGCGACCGGCCACACUGGGACUGAGACACGGCCCAGACUCCUACGGGAGGCAGCAGUGGGGAAUAUUGCACAAUGGGGGAAACCCUGAUGCAGCGACGCAGCGUGCGGGAUGACGGCCUUCGGGUUGUAAACCGCUUUCAGCAGGGAAGAAGCGCAAGUGACGGUACCUGCAGAAGAAGUACCGGCUAACUACGUGCCAGCAGCCGCGGUAAUACGUAGGGUACGAGCGUUGUCCGGAAUUAUUGGGCGUAAAGAGCUCGUAGGUGGUUGGUCACGUCUGCUGUGGAAACGCAACGCUUAACGUUGCGCGUGCAGUGGGUACGGGCUGACUAGAGUGCAGUAGGGGAGUCUGGAAUUCCUGGUGUAGCGGUGAAAUGCGCAGAUAUCAGGAGGAACACCGGUGGCGAAGGCGGGACUCUGGGCUGUAACUGACACUGAGGAGCGAAAGCAUGGGGAGCGAACAGGAUUAGAUACCCUGGUAGUCCAUGCCGUAAACGUUGGGCACUAGGUGUGGGGGGCAUUCCACGUUCUCCGCGCCGUAGCUAACGCAUUAAGUGCCCCGCCUGGGGAGUACGGUCGCAAGGCUAAAACUCAAAGGAAUUGACGGGGGCCCGCACAAGCGGCGGAGCAUGCGGAUUAAUUCGAUGCAACGCGAAGAACCUUACCAAGGCUUGACAUACACCGGACCGUCCUGGAAACAGGUCUUCUUCUUUGAAGCUGGUGUACAGGUGGUGCAUGGUUGUCGUCAGCUCGUGUCGUGAGAUGUUGGGUUAAGUCCCGCAACGAGCGCAACCCUCGUUCUAUGUUGCCAGCAUGUGAUGGUGGGAACUCAUAGGAGACUGCCGGGGUCAACUCGGAGGAAGGUGGGGAUGACGUCAAAUCAUCAUGCCCUUUAUGUCUUGGGCUUCACGCAUGCUACAAUGGCUGGUACAGAGAGAGGCGAACCCGUGAGGGCAAGCGAAUCCCUUAAAGCCAGUCUCAGUUCGGAUCGUAGUCUGCAAUUCGACUACGUGAAGUCGGAGUCGCUAGUAAUCGCAGAUCAGC
RNAcentral lists this ribosomal RNA (1289 nucleotides) under Brevibacterium sp. LC492. RNAcentral describes it as "bacterial SSU rRNA". It matches the Rfam family "Bacterial small subunit ribosomal RNA", at positions 56 to 1353 of the family's 1533-position model. The record is from RNAcentral. Lineage: Bacteria; Bacillati; Actinomycetota; Actinomycetes; Micrococcales; Brevibacteriaceae.